UUUUAUUGAGAGUUUGAUCCUGGCUCAGGACGAACGCUGGCGGCGUGCCUAACACAUGCAAGUCGAGCGAUGAAGCUUCUUCGGAAGUGGAUUAGCGGCGGACGGGUGAGUAACACGUGGGCAACCUGCCUCAUAGAGAGGGAUAGCCUUUCGAAAGGAAGAUUAAUACCUCAUAAGAUUGUAGUUUCGCAUGAAACGGCAAUAAAAGGAGCAAUCCGCUAUGAGAUGGGCCCGCGUCGCAUUAGCUAGUUGGUAAGGUAAUGGCUUACCAAGGCGACGAUGCGUAGCCGACCUGAGAGGGUGAUCGGCCACAUUGGGACUGAGACACGGCCCAGACUC
RNAcentral lists this ribosomal RNA (339 nucleotides) under Clostridium botulinum. RNAcentral describes it as "bacterial SSU rRNA". It matches the Rfam family "Bacterial small subunit ribosomal RNA", at positions 1 to 338 of the family's 1533-position model. The record is from RNAcentral. Lineage: Bacteria; Bacillati; Bacillota; Clostridia; Eubacteriales; Clostridiaceae.